This 364-nucleotide unclassified non-coding RNA is filed under the name Peteniodendron pallens. RNAcentral's name for it is "Pouteria pallens partial contains external transcribed spacer and 18S ribosomal RNA". Lineage: Eukaryota; Viridiplantae; Streptophyta; Magnoliopsida; Ericales; Sapotaceae. The record is from RNAcentral.
UCCUGUGUUACUUGCCUAAUGUGUUGGAAAUUGACCCCAGAUGAGUCCUGAUUUUCGCCUCUCACCAAUUCGUGGUGUUAGGUUUUGACGGGGAAGUGCUGCCCAUUCUCCUUGAUUGCUUCACCCUUUGGCGUCGCGAUCAGGGCCCAUGGGUGGCUACGAGUUCGCUUGGAUGCAAAACUUUCGAAUGGUUCACGGCAUGUUGCUGUAGUUUACCCACCAAGCGUUCAUCGCUCGAUGCGUAAGACGGUUGUGCUCGUCUCGGUCCCCUCUUCCAACUAGUUUGGAUGGGACUCAUGCGGUGCCGGCGUUGCGAAGGAAUGCUACCUGGUUGAUCCUGCCAGUAGUCAUAUGCUUGUCUCAA